GCGGCAGUAGUUCAGUGGUAGAAUGUCUCCUUGCCAAGGAGAAGGUCGCCGGUUCGAGUCCGGUCUGCCGCUCAA
This 75-nucleotide transfer RNA is filed under the name Candidatus Shapirobacteria bacterium CG10_big_fil_rev_8_21_14_0_10_40_9. RNAcentral's name for it is "tRNA-Gly". It matches the Rfam family "tRNA". Rfam says of the family: Transfer RNA (tRNA) molecules are approximately 80 nucleotides in length. Their secondary structure includes four short double-helical elements and three loops (D, anti-codon, and T loops). Lineage: Bacteria; Candidatus Shapironibacteriota. The record is from RNAcentral.